CAGUAGCCGCGGGAACACGUAGGUGGCAAGCGUUGUCCGGAAUUAUUGGGCGUAAAGGGCUCGCAGGCGGUUUCUUAAGUCUGAUGUGAAAGCCCCCGGCUCAACCGGGGAGGGUCAUUGGAAACUGGGAAACUUGAGUGCAGAAGAGGAGAGUGGAAUUCCACGUGUAGCGGUGAAAUGCGUAGAGAUGUGGAGGAACACCAGUGGCGAAGGCGACUCUCUGGUCUGUAACUGACGCUGAGGAGCGAAAGCGUGGGAAGCGAACAGGAUUAGAUACCCGCGUAGUCCCUGUCUCUUAUAC
Molecule: ribosomal RNA, 301 nt
Filed under: uncultured bacterium
Lineage: Bacteria
Description: partial 16S ribosomal RNA
Rfam family: Bacterial small subunit ribosomal RNA
Source: RNAcentral